AAAACUAAUUACAAAUAUCUCAUUUCUUACAUUUUCUCUCUCCAACCUCCAUAUACAUAUCACACCUCCACAAUUUAUGCCUAACAUCAAGCAACAAUAAUUAAGAAAUUUCAAGAUUUGAAUUUACAAAGCUUAUAUUAUCAAGUUGUUGAACAUCGUCAUCUUCUUUAAUUUCUUUUUAGGUUAGUUUAAUUUUUUAAUUUUUUCAACUUUACUAAAUCAAAAAUCUACGAGUUACUUGGUGCAUGUGCGUAAUUCUCAAAGUUUAAGCAUAGUAAUGGAGUCUGGUCCGAGUUUUAGAAAAAAUAGAUCGAAACGACCACGGCCGCCAAGAUAAAGAAGUUGAGGAAAUUUGCUUGUACAAGCUCUAAAAAUUCCGUUACUAAAUCUUCAAGUAAGAUAAAAAGUGAAGAAUCAUCACAACCACGCCUUUCAAAGGUAUAGUGAUUUGUUGUUGAACUUGUAUUUUUUUUAAUCGAUUUACGCAUUCUUCUACAUUGUUAUAUAAGAGUGUUUUAUUGUUACUUCAACCUUAUACAUAAAUUAGUAUGUAUAGUGUUAGAGACGUCUUCUUAUACAUUAAAUUUGUUAUGUAUCUGGUUAAAUUACUUAGUAAAUCAAUGUUGUUAUUUUGAACUAUGAUACAUAGCGAGUUAUGUAUAUAUUUGUAGCUAUGUCAUUUGUUGGACGUUUUAUUUGAACCCAUAUACAUAAAUUUGUUAUGUAUGUGCAUUGAAACAAGACACUGCUGGACUGUUUAAUUUCAGGUCAUAUACAUUACAGAGUUAUAUAUAUGUUAUGCAUCAAUAGUGUUAUACAUAGCACACUUAUGUAUAUGAUUCUGC
Molecule: long non-coding RNA, 845 nt
Filed under: Capsicum annuum
Lineage: Eukaryota; Viridiplantae; Streptophyta; Magnoliopsida; Solanales; Solanaceae
Description: long non-coding RNA (CANN_LNC000784)
Source: RNAcentral